This 869-nucleotide ribosomal RNA is filed under the name uncultured bacterium. Its description in RNAcentral is "bacterial SSU rRNA". It matches the Rfam family "Bacterial small subunit ribosomal RNA", at positions 621 to 1502 of the family's 1533-position model. The record is from RNAcentral.
UUGCAGUUGAUACUGUCAGUCUGNAGUACAGUAGAGGUGGGCGGAAUUCGUGGUGUAGCGGUGAAAUGCUUAGAUAUCACGAAGAACUCCGAUUGCGAAGGCAGCUCACUGGACUGCAACUGACACUGAUGCUCGAAAGUGUGGGUAUCAAACAGGAUUAGAUACCCUGGUAGUCCACACAGUAAACGAUGAAUACUCGCUGUUUGCGAUAUACAGUAAGCGGCCAAGCGAAAGCAUUAAGUAUUCCACCUGGGGAGUACGCCGGCAACGGUGAAACUCAAAGGAAUUGACGGGGGCCCGCACAAGCGGAGGAACAUGUGGUUUAAUUCGAUGAUACGCGAGGAACCUUACCCGGGCUUAAAUUGCAGUGGAAUGAUGUGGAAACAUGUCAGUGAGCAAUCACCGCUGUGAAGGUGCUGCAUGGUUGUCGUCAGCUCGUGCCGUGAGGUGUCGGCUUAAGUGCCAUAACGAGCGCAACCCUUAUCUUCAGUUACUAGCAGGUCAUGCUGAGGACUCUGGAGAGACUGCCGUCGUAAGAUGUGAGGAAGGUGGGGAUGACGUCAAAUCAGCACGGCCCUUACGUCCGGGGCUACACACGUGUUACAAUGGGGGGUACAGAAGGCAGCUAGCGGGUGACCGUAUGCUAAUCCCAAAAUCCUCUCUCAGUUCGGAUCGAAGUCUGCAACCCGACUUCGUGAAGCUGGAUUCGCUAGUAAUCGCGCAUCAGCCACGGCGCGGUGAAUACGUUCCCGGGCCUUGUACACACCGCCCGUCAAGCCAUGGGAGCCGGGGGUACCUGAAGCACGUAACCGCAAGGAUCGUCCUAGGGUAAAACUGGUGACUGGGGCUAAGUCGUAACAAGGUAACCA